RNAcentral lists this ribosomal RNA (253 nucleotides) under uncultured bacterium. Its description in RNAcentral is "partial 16S ribosomal RNA". It matches the Rfam family "Bacterial small subunit ribosomal RNA", at positions 524 to 776 of the family's 1533-position model. The record is from RNAcentral.
UACGUAGGGCGCAAGCGUUGUCCGGAAUUAUUGGGCGUAAAGAGCUCGUAGGCGGCUUGUCACGUCGAUUGUGAAAGCCCGAGGCUUAACCUCGGGUCUGCAGUCGAUACGGGCUAGCUAGAGUGUGGUAGGGGAGAUCGGAAUUCCUGGUGUAGCGGUGAAAUGCGCAGAUAUCAGGAGGAACACCAAUUGCGAAGGCAGCUCGCUGGGACGUUACUGACGCUGAGGAGCGAAAGCGUGGGGAGCAAACAGG